CUAAGAAUAUUCCGCAAUGGACGAAAGUCUGACGGAGCGACGCCGCGUGGAUGAUGAAGGCCGAAAGGUUGUAAAGUCCUUUUGCUGGGGAAGAAUAACCAUGGGAGGGAAUGCCCGUGGGAUGACAUGAACCGGCGAAUAAGCCCCGGCUAACUACGUGCCAGCAGCCGCGGUAACACGGAGGGGGCGAGCGUUGUUCGGAAUUACUGGGCGUAAAGGGCAGGUAGGCGGGUUGGUAAGCCUGGCGUGAAA
RNAcentral lists this ribosomal RNA (252 nucleotides) under uncultured prokaryote. Its description in RNAcentral is "partial 16S ribosomal RNA". It matches the Rfam family "Bacterial small subunit ribosomal RNA", at positions 355 to 599 of the family's 1533-position model. The record is from RNAcentral.